CCCCGCACAAACACCUCUCGUAUCGAUCCCCUCGAGGAGAAGCCGUCGCCCCCAUCUCCCGCUCUGCCGCCGCCGCCCCCCGCCUUACCGUAUCUCCCUCUCAGCCACCUCCACCACCCCCACGCUUCUCCCCAUCGCCGGAUCCGCUAUUAGAUCGCCAAGGUUAGGCGGCAGAGCUCCACGUCCGCGACUUGCUCGUGCUCGUCAAGGAAGGGGCUGCCGAUCGAAUCUGCGCUCACGCGGCUUGUGUGCCAUGGCCGCCAUGGCAUCCAUGGCCGACAAGAGGGGACCCUCGGCCUCGGCCAUGGCCGCCUGCUUUGGACACGGGCUGGUACUGCAUCUCUUCGGCGGAAGGCGAAAAGAAUGGCGGCGGCGGGCAAUAUGGGAGAAGACGGUGCCCUGCCUGACAACGGACUCGAAUUUCUACUGGAUCCGGUUGACAGUGAGGUGGUUGCGGACGUUGAGGUGCCAGAUCCGUUGGCGGCAAGGGACUUAGUGGAGACAGACAUGGCUGGCGCCGAUUCCUCAUGCGCGGUUGUGGUUGGGCACCUCGGCGGAGCUGCUGAGCCCCGGGAUUCUGGCGGCAAGAGGAAACAGUAGUCAACCCAGUCCGUGGAAUCGACCGGGAAAGUGAACCCGGAGGCGCCCAGGUCGACCAGAAGGUAAAAAGUAAAAUUAGAGUUCUGAAACUUUCAGACAGAAUGGUUUUGAUUUUUGCAAGCACUGUCACAUACUUGUGCAUGAGCAUAUAUGCUUGGUGCUGUGAUUACUCGUUUCAGCUGGGUAUCCUCGUGAUUUUUCUGGUCAUACUAAUGCGAAUUGGUGUUUCAUAUAUACGACUAGCCAAGAAGUUUUUAGAUGGAUCAUGUCAUAGAUGGACUAGCCAAGAUUGUUUUCAGAUGGAGUGACGAGUGGCACCUGCAGUUCUAAAGGAAAUGUUAGGAGCUUAUGCCCGUCAUUGGCUUGUCUCCCCUGGGCUAUGCAUCCAGCUCCAGCGGGUUCAGCACGACUGAGGCAGCAGUGGGAAGGAAGAUUAUUUGGUAGGAUGGCGCUGACAACAUAUCGGAGAUGCGCCAAGCCUUGCUGCGACCUAGCUUUCUUGUGCUUGCUCUCCUUCCCCAACAACAGACCAUCAUGGCCCUCCCUUUUGUUGUUCAUCAAUGGGGGUCAUGUUCACAUCAGAACCAUCAUCAGCACAAUCUUCAUGAAUUUUCCAUAUUUGUCAUAUCUCUCUGAUUGUCCAGUGCAGAUCAUGUUGUUAAAAAGUGAAACUUCUGGGUUGAUUUCAGGUUUAAGGCGUAAAGACUUUUUUAGGUUCUGUUCGUGCUGGAAAAUUUAUGUUCAUUGUCGCACCAAUCAUGUCGGAACCGAAUUUAUUUUCAUUGUUUCAGUCCAAUUCAUCCUUAGAGGGAAAGUGUGGGCCUUGAACUGAAGGAGAGGCAAAUAUGUUUCUAUCAUAGUUAAAUUGGUUCUUGAUUUGAAGAGAUUAUAGAGCCACGUAAUUUUGUACCCGAGCACUGCCAACUGUCGACGAUUUGUAUUGUGUGUUGUUUUACAGUACCUACUUGCCAAUAUUAUUGUGUUGUUUCUCCUAACAAUUGUAGACAUGAAUACAUUUUUGACGAGGUGAAGACAACAGAGAUUGGAGGUAUGCGCUGGGCUCUUUGACACAAGCUAGGGAGGAGUAAGCUGACUGGAUAAUGAGAAAUGUUGAAGUAGUCCAAGGAGGAAUGACACACUGGCUGUGUGUGUGAUGACCUUAACUCUGAAAAAUGAGUUUUUCUUUCUUUCUAAAAUCUAGAGUGGAUUAAUUCUACAAGUAUCCUGAGUUUCUGAUAUGCUUUGCACAUCCACAUACGUGACAGCUGCAAGUUUAACCUGCUCUGAAAUCUCAGAGUUUGUUAGAAGAAACUAUAUUGUUGAUGUGGCUCUUUCACAGUUUUCAUUUCUAAUAAAAUGUGAAGGUGCAACUAUCCUGAAGAAUGAUGAUGUAAAAAGAAAGUUGUAUCAGCAUCGAAGUGAAGAACUGGUGCGGCAGAGCGUACCUUUCCUUCUUGUAAUGAUACCAUGUCCAGUGAAUGCAACACCUAAAACGUCUGCAUAUAAAAUUGCAGUUCGUGGCCGUGCACCUCUUGAUACAGCACCUUGUCCUGGUAGAGUCAGUCCGCUGGAAGAAAUGAUCAGGAGGUAUGCUGAUAAGCCCAUCCGAUAAUGUAGGAAGCCAGAGAUUAGGAUGAGUUUUGACUCCUCGGGGGAAGCUUACAUUUCUAUAACCUGUAUUCUUGGGAGCUUGUACUUGGAAUAAUAUGUGAAAAGAGUCUAUAACC
This 2327-nucleotide ribosomal RNA is filed under the name Triticum aestivum (bread wheat). RNAcentral describes it as "partial small subunit ribosomal RNA". The record is from RNAcentral. Lineage: Eukaryota; Viridiplantae; Streptophyta; Magnoliopsida; Poales; Poaceae.